This 485-nucleotide ribosomal RNA is filed under the name uncultured bacterium. RNAcentral's name for it is "partial 16S ribosomal RNA". It matches the Rfam family "Bacterial small subunit ribosomal RNA", at positions 899 to 1397 of the family's 1533-position model. The record is from RNAcentral.
ACUCAAAUGAAUAGACGGGGACCCGCACAAGCGGUGGAGCGUGUUGUUUAAUUCGAUGGUAAGCGAAGAACCUUACCAGGGUUUGACAUCCUGGGAAUCACUUCGAAAGAAGAGAGUGCCUUUAUGGAAUCCAGUGACAGGUGUUGCAUGGCCGUCGUCAGCUCGUGUCGUGAGAUGUUUGGUUAAGUCCAUCAACGAGCGCAACCCUUAUAGUUAGUUGAAUUUCUCUAGCUAGACCGCCUCGGCAACGGGGAGGAAGGAGGGGAUGAUGUCAGGUCCGUAUUACCCUUACACCCUGGGCUACAAACACGCUACAAUGGCCGGUACAAAGGGCUGCCAAGUCGCGAGACGGAGCAAAUCCCAUCAAAGCCGGUCUCAGUUCGGAUUGCAGGCUGAAACUCGCCUGCAUGAAGCUGGAAUCGCUAGUAACGGUGAGUCAGCACAUUACCGUGAAUACGUUCCCGGGUCUUGCACACACCGCCCGU